GACGAACGCUGGCGGCGUGCCUAAUACAUGCAAGUCGAACGAAGCUGUUUUAACUGGUGCUUGCACCGACUUAAACAACUGAGUGGCGGACGGGUGAGUAACACGUGGGUAACCCGCCCCAAAGCGGGGGAUAACAUUUGGAAACAGAUGCUAAUACCGCAUAACCACAGAAACCACAUGGUUUCUGUGUCAAAGAUGGUUUCGGCUAUCACUUUGGGAUGGACCCGCGGCGUAUUAGCUAGUUGGUAAGGUAAUGGCUUACCAAGGCAAUGAUACGUAGCCGAACUGAGAGGUUGAUCGGCCACAUUGGGACUGAGACACGGCCCAAACUCCUACGGGAGGCAGCAGUAGGGAAUCUUCCACAAUGGACGAAAGUCUGAUGGAGCAACGCCGCGUGAGUGAAGAAGGUUUUCGGAUCGUAAAACUCUGUUGUCAGAGAAGAACGUGUGCGAGAGUAACUGUUCGUGCAGUGACGGUAUCUGGCCAGAAAGCCACGGCUAACUACGUGCCAGCAGCCGCGGUAA
RNAcentral lists this ribosomal RNA (524 nucleotides) under uncultured bacterium. RNAcentral describes it as "partial 16S ribosomal RNA". It matches the Rfam family "Bacterial small subunit ribosomal RNA", at positions 28 to 523 of the family's 1533-position model. The record is from RNAcentral.